UUGAAAGGGAAACGAUUGAAGUCAGUCGUACCAGCGGGAAUCAACCUUUCGAGUGGGGGUUUUGGAGUUUUUUGAAGAGUGUCAAAACCUUUGAGAUUUCAAAAUAUUCGCUCUUUUGGUGUACUUUCUCGUGGGUAGGUUAACAUCGAUUUUGAUCAUCAUAAAAAGAUUGGAGGAAUGUAGCUUCGAUCUUGUAUUGAAGUGUUAUAGCCUUUGGUAAAUGUGAUGAUUAGGAUCGAGGAUUGCAACGAAUACCCUUUUGGGCUAUCCGCCUGAUCUCUGAUACGUGGCCUUGGUAUCGAAAGCGUGCUUAUGGUAUUGAGGUAUUACGGUCAAAAGGUUAGAACGGAUUACAUUCGUUAAGGAUGUUGACGUA
This 376-nucleotide ribosomal RNA is filed under the name uncultured Glomeromycotina. RNAcentral describes it as "LSU rRNA". The record is from RNAcentral. Lineage: Eukaryota; Fungi; Glomeromycota.